Long non-coding RNA from Girardinichthys multiradiatus, 892 nucleotides. RefSeq lists it as uncharacterized. The record is from RefSeq and is a predicted model, not a curated record. Lineage: Eukaryota; Metazoa; Chordata; Actinopteri; Cyprinodontiformes; Goodeidae. The transcript has 4 exons.
CAGGGUCCUGGAGGGCCUUGCCUAUCUACGCCGGGCACUGGGUGAGAGUCUGGGUGCACCCUGGACAUGUCGCCAGUCCACUAUAGGGUGCACCCUGCCUCUUCUGCAGAUUGGCAGUAGCUACGACCAUGAAAGGAUAAGUCUGCCACUGAUUGGUCAAGCAAUCCUUUGCGACGGCUCCUUCCCUGGACAAGCUGGGUAAGAGAGAAGCAGAGCACUCACCAAGAAGGCCUUUUCCAAGUGAUUCAAAAGAGGACUGAUAACCCUGGCGGAUUCAACUGAAAUAAUCCUGCUUUGCGUUUCUCUGUUUUUGUUCUGGUUCCAGGUCCAAGAUGAAGAAACACCAAGAUACCCAAUGACCUGGGCCAGAACCGACAGUUACAAGUCUAGGAGUGACCUUCCUGCCAAACAUCAGCUCUUUGGUCUGUGAUCUUCCCGUCAGCCGAGCUGAGAGAUCAGAUUAUGGGAGCAGCAUUAGUCCAGUCAGUUCCACGAGUGAGACAACAGCCCAGUGUUAGACCAGAUAAGGUACUUUUCUCUUGUUCAGUCAUGGUGGUUCUGGUGUCAAAAGUUGACAAAUCAAAAGGUUGUUCAUCUAGUGGCAGAAUACUUCAUUCUAAUCUGACAUCGAAGAGUAGUAUUAGUGCAGUUCCUUUGUGUUUGUUUUCUCAGUAGAUAUAAAAGAGAAGAUUUUAAUGUGGCUAAAAAUAAAUAGAAUUUUAAUUACUAGCUCCCAUUAAUUUUUCUUAUAAUCCUUAGAAAAGUAAUUAUCCUUAAUUGAUCCUAAGUAAAUUUUCCAUCUCCUCAUAUUAAUAUUAAUAUACAUUAUACACUCACCGGCCACUUUAUUAGGUACACCUUGUUAGUACUGGGUUGGACCCACUUUUGCCUA